Molecule: long non-coding RNA, 441 nt
Organism: Gossypium arboreum
Lineage: Eukaryota; Viridiplantae; Streptophyta; Magnoliopsida; Malvales; Malvaceae
Exons: 2
Source: RefSeq, a predicted model, not a curated record
AAAGAAAUUCAUGCUUUGAACGACAAAUUUUGCAAUUAAUUGAAUGAAACAAAACCUCGAAUCUCUAUAAUGUCGUCCAAAAUGAAGGCGUUUUUUGCAGCUUGCAUUCUUUUGCUGUCCACUCUUGUUAUUUUCACUACUACAACAUCAGCUCGUGCUCUAGUUAUCCAAAAAAAGGAAAGGAAUCCCAUACCGAAGCCAAAGCCAGGUCCUAGGUGUAGUAAGGUACAUGGUAAACGUGUAUGCAUAGGAUAUUGAUAAAACCAAAGAAAAACUACAUAUGUAUAUAUAUAUACAUGCCCAAGUUUCUUCCUCAUCUUGUUCUUCAGGCCAGUAUAUGUAUAUAAGCUGGCUUUCAUUGAUGUAUUUAUCUGCACUUUGGAAAUCGGAAUUGUAAUUCGUGGUAAUGUUUGAUGUAGUUGAAAGUGUUCUUGAAAAUAA